UACGAAGGGGGCUAGCGUUGUUCGGAAUUACUGGGCGUAAAGGGCGCGUAGGCGGUGCCUCAAGUCAGGCGUGAAAGCCCCGGGCUCAACCUGGGAACCGCGCUUGAGACUGGCAUGCUCGAGUUCGGGAGAGGAUGGUGGAAUUCCCAGUGUAGGGGUGAAAUUCGUAGAUAUUGGGAAGAACACCGAUCGGCGAAGGCAGCCAUCUGGACCGACACUGACGCUGAGGCGCGAAAGCGUGGGGAGCAAACAGG
RNAcentral lists this ribosomal RNA (254 nucleotides) under uncultured bacterium. RNAcentral's name for it is "partial 16S ribosomal RNA". It matches the Rfam family "Bacterial small subunit ribosomal RNA", at positions 524 to 776 of the family's 1533-position model. The record is from RNAcentral.